RNAcentral lists this ribosomal RNA (743 nucleotides) under uncultured bacterium. Its description in RNAcentral is "bacterial SSU rRNA". It matches the Rfam family "Bacterial small subunit ribosomal RNA", at positions 94 to 823 of the family's 1533-position model. The record is from RNAcentral.
AGCGGCGGAUGGGUGAGUAACACGUGGGGAACCUGCCCCUAGGUCUGGGAUACCAUUUGGAAACAGGUGCUAAUACCGGAUAAUAAAGCAGAUCGCAUGAUCAGCUGUUGAAAGGCGGCGUAAGCUGUCGCUAAGGGAUGGCCCCGCGGUGCAUUAGCUAGUUGGUAAGGUAACGGCUUACCAAGGCAACGAUGCAUAGCCGAGUUGAGAGACUGAUCGGCCACAUUGGGACUGAGACACGGCCCAAACUCCUACGGGAGGCAGCAGUAGGGAAUCUUCCACAAUGGACGCAAGUCUGAUGGAGCAACGCCGCGUGAGUGAAGAAGGUUUUCGGAUCGUAAAGCUCUGUUGUUGGUGAAGAAGGAUAGAGGUAGUAACUGGCCUUUAUUUGACGGUAAUCAACCAGAAAGUCACGGCUAACUACCUGCCAGCAGCCGCGGUAAUACGUAGGUGGCAAGCGUUGUCCGGAUUUAUUGGGCGUAAAGCGAGCGCAGGCGGAAAAAUAAGUCUAAUGUGAAAGCCCUCGGCUUAACCGAGGAACUGCAUCGGAAACCGUUUUUCUUGAGUGCAGAAGAGGAGAGUGGAACUCCAUGUGUAGCGGUGGAAUGCGUAGAUAUAUGGAAGAACACCAGUGGCGAAGGCGGCUCUCUGGUCUGCAACUGACGCUGAGGCUCGAAAGCAUGGGUAGCGAACAGGAUUAGAUACCCUGGUAGUCCAUGCCGUAGACGAUGAGUGCUAAGUGU